Molecule: ribosomal RNA, 395 nt
Filed under: uncultured bacterium
Lineage: Bacteria
Description: bacterial SSU rRNA
Rfam family: Bacterial small subunit ribosomal RNA
Source: RNAcentral
AUUGAACGCUGGCGGCAUGCCUUACACAUGCAAGUCGAACGGCAGCGGACCUUCGGGUGCCGGCGAGUGGCGAACGGGUGAGUAAUAUAUCGGAACGUACCUUUCAGUGGGGGAGUAACGUAGCGAAAGUUACGCUAAUACCGCAUAUUCUGUGAGCAGGAAAGCAGGGGAUCGCAAGACCUUGCGCUGAUUGAGCGGCCGAUAUCAGAUUAGCUAGUUGGUGGGGUAAAGGCCCACCAAGGCGACGAUCUGUAGCGGGUCUGAGAGGAUGAUCCGCCACACUGGGACUGGGACACGGCCCAGACUCCUACGGGAGGCAGCAGUGGGGAAUUUUGGACAAUGGGCGCAAGCCUGAUCCAGCCAUGCCGCGUGCGGGACGAAGGCCUCGGUUGUAA